UGCAAGUCGAGCGGAGUUGAUAGGAAGCUUGCUUCCUGGAUACUUAGCGGCGGACGGGUGAGUAACACGUAGGCAACCUGCCCUCAAGUUUGGGACAACUACCGGAAACGGUAGCUAAUACCGAAUAAUUGUUUUCUUCGCCUGAAGAGAACUGGAAAGACGGAGCAAUCUGUCACUUGGGGAUGGGCCUGCGGCGCAUUAGCUAGUUGGUGAGGUAACGGCUCACCAAGGCGACGAUGCGUAGCCGACCUGAGAGGGUGAUCGGCCACACUGGGACUGAGACACGGCCCAGACUCCUACGGGAGGCAGCAGUAGGGAAUCUUCCGCAAUGGGCGAAAGCCUGACGGAGCAAUGCCGCGUGAGUGAUGAAGGUUUUCGGAUCGUAAAGCUCUGUUGCCAGGGAAGAACGCUUGGGAGAGUAACUGCUCUCAAGGUGACGGUACCUGAGAAGAAAGCCCCGGCUAACUACGUGCCAGCAGCCGCGGUAAUACGUAGGGGGCAAGCGUUGUCCGGAAUUAUUGGGCGUAAAGCGCGCGCAGGCGGUCAUUUAAGUCUGGUGUUUAAUCCCGGGGCUCAACCCCGGAUCGCACUGGAAACUGG
RNAcentral lists this ribosomal RNA (600 nucleotides) under Paenibacillus xylanexedens. RNAcentral describes it as "bacterial SSU rRNA". It matches the Rfam family "Bacterial small subunit ribosomal RNA", at positions 56 to 636 of the family's 1533-position model. Lineage: Bacteria; Bacillati; Bacillota; Bacilli; Caryophanales; Paenibacillaceae. The record is from RNAcentral.